GACGAACGCUGGCGGCGCGCCUAACACAUGCAAGUCGAGCGGAGAUAUUUAAAGGAAGUUUUCGGAUGGAAUUUGAGUAUUUUAGCGGCGGACGGGUGAGUAACGCGUGAGUGACCUGCCUUCCACAGGGGGAUAACGUACCGAAAGGUACACUAAUACCGCAUGAGACCACACCACUGCCUGGUGCAGGGGUCAAAGGAGCAAUCCGGUGGAAGAUGGACUCGCGUCCGAUUAGAUAGUUGGUGGGGUAACGGCCUACCAAGUCAGCGAUCGGUAGCCGACCUGAGAGGGUGAUCGGCCACAUUGGAACUGAGAGACGGUCCAAACUCCUACGGGAGGCAGCAGUGGGGAAUAUUGGCAAUGGGGGAAACCCUGACCCAGCGACGCCGCGUGAGGGAAGAAGGUUUUCGGAUUGUAAACCUCUGUUCUUGGUGAAGAGGGAAAGACGGUAGCCAAGGAGGAAGCCCCGGCUAACUACGUGCCAGCCGCCGCGGUAA
RNAcentral lists this ribosomal RNA (497 nucleotides) under uncultured bacterium. Its description in RNAcentral is "partial 16S ribosomal RNA". It matches the Rfam family "Bacterial small subunit ribosomal RNA", at positions 28 to 523 of the family's 1533-position model. The record is from RNAcentral.